AGGGCACCACCAGGAGUGGAGCCUGCGGCUUAAUUUGACUCAACACGGGAAAUCUCACCAGGCCCGGACACCGGUAGGAUUGACAGAUUGAGAGCUCUUUCUUGAUUCGGUGGGUGGUGGUGCAUGGCCGUUCUUAGUUGGUGGAGCGAUUUGUCUGGUUAAUUCCGAUAACGAACGAGACUCUAGCCUACUAGUUAGCCGGCCCGGUCGUUAUGCGCCCGGGCAACGAGCUUCUUAGAGGGACAGACGGCGAGUAAGCCGUACGAGAUAGAGCAAUAACAGGUCUGUGAUGCCCUUAGAUGUCCGGGGCCGCACGCGCGCUACACUGAAGUGAUCAGCACGCUAGCAAGCCCGCUCCGAGAGGAGCGGGUAACCGUUUGAACCCCCUUCAUGAUAGGGAUUGAGCUUUGUAACUAUUGCUCGUGAACGAGGAAUUCCCAGUAGGCGUGAGUCAUUACCUUACGCCGAUUACGUCCCUGCCCUUUGUACACACCGCCCGUCGCUACUACCGAUUGAAUG
This 519-nucleotide ribosomal RNA is filed under the name uncultured eukaryote. RNAcentral's name for it is "bacterial SSU rRNA". It matches the Rfam family "Eukaryotic small subunit ribosomal RNA", at positions 1161 to 1695 of the family's 1831-position model. The record is from RNAcentral.